UCCCUCAGUAUGGCGAAUGAACAGGGAUGAGCUCAGUAUGGAAAUUGGGGCCUGUGGCCUUGAAUUGUAGUCUGGAGAUGUACCACCAACUGGGGCGCAGAUGUAAGCCUCUUGGAAAAGAGCAUCAAUGAGGGUGAGAGUCCCGCAUGGCAUCUGCAGUCCCCAGUGCACGGUGUACCUUCUAAGAGUCACGUUCCUCGGGAUUGGAGCGCAAAUCGGGUGGUAAAUUUCAUCUAAAGCUAAAUAUAGUUUCGAGACCGAUAGCAAACAAGUACCAUGAGGGAAAGGUGAAAAGGACUUUGAAAAGAGAGUUAAAAGUGCCUGAAAUUGCUGAAAGGGAAGCGAAUGGAACCAGCGAAACUUGGCAAGAUUGCUGUGUGUCAAUGUGAUUGCUUGCUGCUGCAACGUAAGUGUGGUAGUAAGUCUUGAGCAGGACAUGCUCGGUGUUUCUUGCCUUGUGUGUCACCUGUGGUUCGUGAUUGAGGAAAACUUCAGGGACAUGGUAGCCUGUCUCCGGGUGGGUGAACGUGUCUGCUGGAACUCAUUCGUGGACUGCUUGGUGACUAAAUGGUUUCAUCCGACCCGUCUUGAAAC
Molecule: ribosomal RNA, 594 nt
Filed under: Scrippsiella donghaiensis
Lineage: Eukaryota; Dinophyceae; Peridiniales; Peridiniaceae
Description: partial large subunit ribosomal RNA
Rfam family: Eukaryotic large subunit ribosomal RNA
Source: RNAcentral